RNAcentral lists this ribosomal RNA (244 nucleotides) under uncultured Actinomycetes bacterium. Its description in RNAcentral is "uncultured actinobacterium partial 16S ribosomal RNA". It matches the Rfam family "Bacterial small subunit ribosomal RNA", at positions 28 to 276 of the family's 1533-position model. Lineage: Bacteria; Bacillati; Actinomycetota; Actinomycetes. The record is from RNAcentral.
GACGAACGCUGGCGGCGUGCUUUACACAUGCAAGUCGAGCGGUAAGGCCUUUCGGGGUACACGAGCGGCGAACGGGUGAGUAACACGUGGGUAACCUGCCCUCAGCUCUGGGAUAAGCCUAGGAAACUGGGUCUAAUACCGGAUAUGACCUUGCAUCGCAUGGUGUGGGGUGGAAAGUUCCGGCGGCUGGGGAUGGGCCCGCGGCCUAUCAGCUUGUUGGUGGGGUAGUGGCCUACCAAGGCGA